Molecule: non-coding RNA, 98 nt
Organism: Kiloniella sp.
Lineage: Bacteria; Pseudomonadati; Pseudomonadota; Alphaproteobacteria; Rhodospirillales; Kiloniellaceae
Rfam family: Bacterial small signal recognition particle RNA
About the family: The signal recognition particle (SRP) is a universally conserved ribonucleoprotein involved in the co-translational targeting of proteins to membranes. Archaeal SRP consists of a 7S RNA and homologues of the eukaryotic SRP19 and SRP54 proteins.
Source: Rfam
GAGAGGUUGGCUAUGGGCGUAGCGCUCGCCAACCCGGUCAGGUCCGGAAGGAAGCAGCCGUAACGAGUUAGCCGCGGGUCGUGGUUCAGCCUCUCACC